This 1275-nucleotide long non-coding RNA is filed under the name Equus caballus (horse). RNAcentral's name for it is "lncRNA (ENSECAG00000051236.1)". The record is from RNAcentral. Lineage: Eukaryota; Metazoa; Chordata; Mammalia; Perissodactyla; Equidae.
GUUUGUUUCUCUCAUCUGUGGGUUGUUGUACUGUGGCAGUUGUGUGUUGCUGUGAAGCUGAAAGCUAUGCUGCUGGUACUUCAAAUACCAGCAGGGUCAUCCAUGGUGGACAGGUUUCAUCAGAGCUUCCAGACUAAGACAGACUAGGAAGAAAGACCUGGGCACCCACUUCCAAAAAAACUGGCCAUGAAAAGCAGUGGCAUAGUGGCAGAAGAUACUGUGCAUGUAUCCUCAACAAUACUUAUUUCUGACCACUGCUGUAGUUCAAAGAAACAUACUUGGAAGGAUACGUUUUACUGGUCCUUUACAUAUCCUGGAGACGAGUCCUUUGUCAGAUUGAUGGAUAGCACUAUCUUCUUCCACUCUACGGUUUGCCUGGUUACACUAUUAAAAGUGCUGUCAGCCUCAGCACCCCCCCCUCCAACCCACCUAUGGCUUCAAGUUGCAUCUGGACAACACGUGAUGCUGGAAUAGAAUUUUACAACCAGACACAAAGAAGAAGAGAAAAGUCAAGCGCUUAGUGAGAAUCAGUUGCAGGAAGUAAAGAGUGGAAUCGAGAGAUAGCUAGGCUGGCCCUGAGCUAACAUCCGUGCCCAUCUUCGUCUGCUUUAUACUUGGGACGCCUACCACAGCAUGGUGUGCGAAGCAGUGUCAUGUCUGCAACUGGGAUCCGAACCGGUGAACCCCGGGCCGCGGAGAAGAAGAACCUGCGAACUUAAUUGCUGCACCACCGGGCCUGCCCCAGGCAUUUCUUUUAAAGAUUAUUUUUGAGAAGCUAAUAGAAUGUCAAAAUGUGGUUAUCAAAGUUGCAUUGUGAUGUUUGUGCUUCUAGUUCAGAGAUGUGUGCCUUAGAUAAAAAACGGACAGUUGUCUACAUAGGGAUGGUAUUUAAAACUUGGGAUAGACCACCAAAAAAGUUAGUUGUUAUGGGUUAAAUAUGUGCAUUCCCCCAAAAUUCACAUGAUAAAAUCCUACCCCCUAAUGUGAUAGUAUUAGGAGGGGUAGCCUUUGGAAGGUUUUUAGGUCACGGGAGCAGGGCCCUUAUAAAUAGGAUUAAUGCUCUUAUAAAAUGGACCCCAGAGAGCUUUCUCCCCUUUUUUCUGCUGUGUGAGGGUACACGGAGAAGUUGGCAGUCUGCACCUGGAAGAGGGCCCUUCCUAGAACCUGACCAUGCUGGCAUCAUGAUCUUGGAUUUCCAGCCUCUAGAACUAUGAGUAAAUGAAUUUCUGCUCAUGGUAUUUUGUAAAUUCUCAGUCAUUAUAUUUUUAUUGUUUG